RNAcentral lists this transfer RNA (64 nucleotides) under Neoneuromus latratus. RNAcentral's name for it is "tRNA-His". The record is from RNAcentral. Lineage: Eukaryota; Metazoa; Arthropoda; Insecta; Megaloptera; Corydalidae.
GUUUAAAUAGUUUAAUUAAAAUUUUGAUUUGUGGAGUCAAAGAUGUAUAUUUUUACUUUAGACC